RNAcentral lists this ribosomal RNA (605 nucleotides) under uncultured Bacilli bacterium. Its description in RNAcentral is "bacterial SSU rRNA". It matches the Rfam family "Bacterial small subunit ribosomal RNA", at positions 102 to 694 of the family's 1533-position model. Lineage: Bacteria; Bacillati; Bacillota; Bacilli. The record is from RNAcentral.
ACGGGUGAGUAACACGUGGGUAACCUACCUAUAAGACUGGGAUAACUUCGGGAAACCGGAGCUAAUACCGGAUAAUAUUUCGAACCGCAUGGUUCGAUAGUGAAAGAUGGCUCUGCUAUCACUUAUAGAUGGACCUGCGCCGUAUUAGCUAGUUGGUAAGGUAACGGCUUACCAAGGCAACGAUACGUAGCCGACCUGAGAGGGUGAUCGGCCACACUGGAACUGAGACACGGUCCAGACUCCUACGGGAGGCAGCAGUAGGGAAUCUUCCGCAAUGGGCGAAAGCCUGACGGAGCAACGCCGCGUGAGUGAUGAAGGUCUUCGGAUCGUAAAACUCUGUUAUUAGGGAAGAACAAACGUGUAAGUAACUGUGCACGUCUUGACGGUACCUAAUCAGAAAGCCACGGCUAACUACGUGCCAGCAGCCGCGGUAAUACGUAGGUGGCAAGCGUUAUCCGGAAUUAUUGGGCGUAAAGCGCGCGUAGGCGGUUUUUUAAGUCUGAUGUGAAAGCCCACGGCUCAACCGUGGAGGGUCAUUGGAAACUGGAAAACUUGAGUGCAGAAGAGGAAAGUGGAAUUCCAUGUGUAGUGGUGAAAUGCGCAGA